RNAcentral lists this ribosomal RNA (614 nucleotides) under uncultured Alphaproteobacteria bacterium. Its description in RNAcentral is "bacterial SSU rRNA". It matches the Rfam family "Bacterial small subunit ribosomal RNA", at positions 132 to 779 of the family's 1533-position model. The record is from RNAcentral. Lineage: Bacteria; Pseudomonadati; Pseudomonadota; Alphaproteobacteria.
UUUGGCCUGGAAUAACACGAGGAAACUUGUGCUAAUACCAGAUAAGUCUUUACGGAGAAAGCUUUAUGCACCAUUGGAUGAGCCCGCACUUGAUUAGUUUGUUGGUGGGGUAAUGGCCUACCAAGACUGUGAUCAAUAGCUGAUUUGAGAGGAUGAUCAGCCACAUUGGGACUGAGACACGGCCCAAACUCCUACGGGAGGCAGCAGUGGGGAAUCUUGCACAAUGGAGGAAACUCUGAUGCAGCGAUGCCGCGUGAGUGAAGAAGGCCCUUGGGUUGUAAAGCUCUUUCGUCGGGGAAGAAAAUGACUGUACCCGAAUAAGAAGGUCCGGCUAACUUCGUGCCAGCAGCCGCGGUAAUACGAAGGGACCUAGCGUAGUUCGGAAUUACUGGGCUUAAAGAGUUCGUAGGUGGUUGAAAAAGUUGGUGGUGAAAUCCCAGAGCUUAACUCUGGAACUGCCAUCAAAGCUUUUCAGCUAGAGUAUGAUAGAGGAAAGCAGAAUUUCUAGUGUAGAGGUGAAAUUCGUAGAUAUUAGAAAGAAUACCAAUUGCGAAGGCAGCUUUCUGGAUCAUUACUGACACUGAGGAACGAAAGCAUGGGUAGCGAAGAGGAUU